CAAUAGCGUAUAUUAAAGUUGUUGCGGUUAAAAAGCUCGUAGUUGGAUUUCUGCUGAGGAUGACCGGUCCGCCCUCCGGGUGAGUAUCUGGCUCAGCCUUGGCAUCUUCCUGAAGAACGUAACUGCACUUGACUGUGUGGUGCGGUAUUUAGGACAUUUACUUUGAGGAAAUUAGAGUGUUUCAAGCAAGCGCACGCCUUGAAUACAUUAGCAUGGAAUAAUAAGAUAGGACCUCGGUUCUAUUUUGUUGGUUUCUAGAGCUGAGGUAAUGAUUGAUAGGGAUAGUUGGGGGCAUUCGUAUUUAACUGUCAGAGGUGAAAUUCUAGGAUUUGUUAAAGACGGACUACUGCGAAAGCAUUUGCCAAGGAUGUUUUCAUUGA
Molecule: ribosomal RNA, 380 nt
Filed under: uncultured eukaryote
Lineage: Eukaryota
Description: partial 18S ribosomal RNA
Rfam family: Eukaryotic small subunit ribosomal RNA
Source: RNAcentral